CCGUGUUCCUGUCCUGUUUAAUUAACGUAGAGGGAGAACUGGGUUGUGCUGGAAGUCACAGCUCUGCCUCACCACGCAGCACAGAAAGCAGCCGUGGGUUUCCUGCAAGGAUAGGGGCAGAGGCUCCUCCUGCUGGGACCCACAGCUGUGGGGCCCUCAGCUUCCUCCCACCAAACCCCAUGUGCAGCACAUCAUCCCCAGCGCCAUGGAGAUGGUCCAAACCCUGCCAUGAGAUUUGCUGUCGGCUCCAGCUCCUCCCAGCCCAGGAGACGGACAGGAGCAGCUCUCCCUACCUGUCUCCCAGCCUCUCCCAGGUGGCAGAGGCUGAGGCACGGAUGAAAUAUGUCUCCAUUCCUGCUCCCUUGCACCUGCUUUUAAAACAAUAGCUAAAUAACCUCCCUGCUGCCGGCUGCAUAAAUCACUCGUAUGGGUUUCAGUGACACGGGCAAACGCCGGAGGUUUGAGGCAGUUUUUCUGGCCAGGGGAAAAAAAUAAUUAAAAUAAAAGCUGGAGAAACUCUGUGAUCAACUCCAGAAUUCCAAUGAGGCUGCCAGGCUGGGAUGUGGUUGAGCGAACGUGAGCUCUGGGUUUCCAUGCAGGUGGGUCACGGCACAGGGACACAGUAGGAGCACCCCAGGUUUGCUGCCAGCAUUUAGGAACCAGAAUGCAGGGGACACUGUGUUGCUCUCUGCCCUACCGUGGGGAAGGCCCUGAGCAGACCCCCAGAUGGGAUCUGCAGCACUUCCAGCCUGCAGAGAUCCUCAGCACAAGGAGAGCUGCAGCGUAGCGUGAGAAGGAGGGAGAGUCUUUGGGCUAGACAGCAUAAAACUCUUGUGUAAUCAAUGAUCAAUUAUUUACAUAGCGUAAGUUACAGGGAAAGCAUCCUUUAAGUCUAAGUUUCCCAUUGAGAAGAAUUGCUCCCUGUUUAGAAAUACACUAAUUAUUCUCUUAAACAAGGAUGAGCUAUAAGUAAUUUAAGGGUUUUAUCACUCACAAUUUGCAAUAAUGUAAUUGAGCGAGCGGCAACAAAUAAAUCCCACAAUGAAAGAAAGGUGGCAGAUUCAACUCAGAGCACGAGGCAGGAUGCAGGACUGCACUGCCUGCAGCUGUCAUAGAUGGGGGUGCAGGAGAAGGAGUGACCAGGGGGGUCUUAUGGCCCAUGGAGUGCUACUGCAGCUCUGCUGCACAGCCGAGAUGCCACCAUCCCCUCCUGCCCAUUGCCGGUGUCUCCUUGCUUGGUCUGCUGCUUUCCAACCCUGACAUAACAGAAAUCCCAAUAGCUUGUCGCAAAGGACUCCAGAUGGGUUAAACGUCCACUUUUUCUCACUCUUUUUUCUUUAUUUUUCCUUUUUCCAGCACGGCCCCCAGCACUUCCCUGCCUGCGUGUCUGUGUCCUGCAGCCGGCCGGGGCUCUGCUAUCUCCCAGCAGCAGAGUGGGAACAGAAUGCUUAGCACUGCCUGGGUAAGGAACAAAGCACCCUUUGCCUCCCCACCUGCCAAUUCCCCACACCGAUGAUUAUUAUAUUCCUCCUAAAGCUGUGUUUAGGAUGAUGGCUAGAUUUCAGCUGCUGAAUGAUCCAAAUGCUCUGGAAGUCGAUGUGAAGAGGGCCCUCUGUUCAGCUGAGCUCCGGGUCAGGCAGUGAAUCUCACAAGAACAAAAGCCUAAUCCUGAUUUUCUCACCCUGCUUUGCAAACCCAUUUCAGAGCAGUUUCUCCAUUGACUUUCAGAGCCUUUGAAUCCAGCUUUCCUACACCAGAGACCCAGGCUGGGCCACGCGUUUAACAAGAGCGCAAUGAAAUGCAGCUCUCUCUCCCACAGUUGUUAAUUCUCACUCAAUGCAUUCUUAAUAUUCAAUUACUAUUUAUGUUACAUGCAGGAAAGGAUUAUCCCAUUAAACCUAAAUUAAGUGCUUCGUUCAUUAAUUAAUACGUUUUAUUUCAAGUGUUGCCAACGUUUAUCCCUGGAAACGUAAUAUUUAAAACCAAAACGCACAGAAGAAGGAAAGGGAUCUUGUUUGCUUGUUGCUCUUAUAUUUGCUCAGAGAUAUUAAUGCGUUCUGGAGCCCCUAAAGUAUUCACCAGCUGCUCGUCAGGAGAGGGACUGCCUCAAAGGGGAGCAGAGCAAAAAGAGCCUGGAGGUGAUAGGAUGGAGGUGAUGAGACAGAGCCUUUCACCCCCACAUUUCUCCCAUGAACCUCAGAAUUAGCCCAACUGGGAUGUCUCUGCCCUUUCCCAGCCCUAUGUCCAUUGGACAGAACAGCCCCGGGCUGUUGCUGUGCGGUGUUGGCAGGAGAUCAUCAGGGUCCUGGCAGCUGGCGGGGUCAGAGCCCAGCAUAGCGCUGCUCGGGGCUGAUGCCAUCUCUGCUCGGAUCAUCCGCAGCACUGUGAUUGCUGCACAGGGACCAACUCCGGAUAUUAAAGCUCCUCAGAGAGCCACAUCCCAACCCAGCACCGCUCAACAUCCCCAAAAUUACCCCAGGGACAAAUUGGCCCACCAGACCUACAGCGCUGACAGCAACAGCUCAGAAACAGCGUGAAAUCUAAAUUAAGUUGAGAGUCUCUUUUCUAAACAAAUUCCUUCUUGAAGAACCAAACCCAGACUUCAUUAUAACAACUCAAUUAUACACGAGGCUGAGCUCCAGUGCGCUCACAGAGACAAGAAGUUUGCCGUGAGUGUUUCACGCUUCGCUCAAAUUAUGACUUCCUUCAAUGCAAAUGGGAGGUUCGGCGAGCAAUGCACAUUUCCCCAAUGCUGCUCAGAAAACAAAUUACAUCGAUGUCUAUUAGGAAGCAGAAGCAGGGCUUCUGUAGGAACAGUGGUUUCUCCAGGGUGAAUUUCUGUGAGGUCUCUCCAGGGUUGCGUUGUGGGGUGAGAAAGCAAAGAGUGACCCCAAAGAGCCUCCAGGACAGCAGAGCCAUCCCUGCUGCUCUGCACAGAACUCAGCCCACUGCACCGUGGGUUUGAUGGAUGCUAUUGAAGCACCAGCAGCAGGAGCAGAUCUCAGCACAUGGGCAGUUCUUGGGGGGCUGACCCCCUCUGGGGGGGACCAGGGGGCAAAGCCCUCUCCUGUGGCCCCAUCUCUCUCCCAAUCAAUAAACAAUGAGCAAAUAUGCAGCAUGAGAGCAGUAAAUAAACUUCUGUAGCCCCCCGGUGUCCCUCUGCCAAAUAAACUCAGUAGGGAUACAUUUUUUCUUGAGCCAUCUUUCACACCAAAUAAAGUCUUGAGGAAUAAAGUGACACUUCUGGCAGGUGCUGAAGCCGUGCUCACAGAGGCACUCAGUGUGUCCUUCUCCUGUCGCUCAUCGUCCCCAAAGCUGCAGAACACCCAUUUGCAAGGACAGACCCCACAUCAACACUGGUGAGAGGCAGAAGCUCAGAGCAGCAUCAUAGUCUCAGCCUUUGCUCUGAAUACAGUGCACAGCAGCUUAGGAAACACAAAUGUGUGACUUCCAUCCCUGCUUGGAGGCACUGGGGAACGCUGCUGCUCACCCUCCUGAGUUCCCACCCAACGUUAUCUCGCUUUCUAUCACAGCAGCAGCUUCCAAUGGGCUCAGAGUGAGGUCGUGAGAUUUUGUGUUCUUCAUACAAUUCCAUCAAACUGCCUCAGGAAGAAGAAAAUAAACCCUGCAAUAAGUCUUCCUGCUGAUUAUUUGCUGGGAUGGAUGGAUGGAUGGAUGGAUGGAUGGAUGGAUGGAUGGAUGGAUGGAUGGAUGGAUGGAUAAAAAAAUAAAAGAAGAAGAAUUUACAGGUAAUUUCCUUGUCAAAAGUUCCUGUCUAUAAAUACAAUCAAGAUAAGAAUGACAUAGCAAAUAGCUCUUUUUCUCUCCUGAAUGAAUUAUUCAGUUCACCACUGAUCCUCUCUAACUGCUUUAUAUUGCCUUCUGCUUUCUGUAUUUAUUUUACUUUAUUUAGUGCUGUAGAGAAGCGCCGCCAAUAAUUGAAAUGAAUUCAGGCAAUUGCAGGAUCCCACAAAUCCCUCCUGGGGCCCCAGCUCAGCCCGAGCCUCCCCUGCUCCUUCCUCACUCUUCUCUCCAAGCCAUCACAAACCGUCUGUGUGUCCCAGCACAACAUGUGGAUCUGGGCUCUCUUCUUAUGCAGAAGCAGUCCCAACAGCAGGAGAACUGGUGUUGGAAUCACCCAGUCCUGGACAAGCCCUGCUUUGGGUUGCAGCUGUGUUUUAGGAGAGGUUUAUGGGAGCCACAGGGAUGGGAAUCAUAGAAUCGUGGAAUGGUUUAGGUUGGAAGGGACCUCUACAACCACUGAGUCUCAAACCCCCGCUGGAUGCCCCUCACAAGAUCAGACCAGGGAUGCCCUUUGGCACCUCCAGGGAUGGGGAACCCACAGCUCUGGGCAGCAGUGCCAGCACCUCAACCCCUCUGAGUAAAGAAUUUUUUUUUCCUAGCACCUGAAGACAUCCAUGAUUGCCCCAACCCAGGUGGAACACCUUGGCCUUGCAGAACCUCAUUUGGCUCUUUUGGGCCCACUUCUCAAACCUGUCCAGGUCCCUCUGGAUGGCGUCCCUUCUUUCUGUUGUAUCAACUGCACCCCUCAGCUUGAUGUCAUCAGUAAAGUUGCUGUGGGUGGACUUGGUUCCACUGUCUAUGUCACUGCAGAGCACGAGUCCCAGGAUAGACCUCUGGGGGACACCACUCCUCACCAACCUCCACCCACACAUAGAGCCAUUGAUAACGACUCUGAUUAUGACCACCCAACCAAGUCCUCCUCCAACCAACAGUCCAGCCUUCAAAUCCAUCUCUCCAACUUAGCGUGAGGUGUCAGACCAUGUCAAAGGCCUUGCACAAGGGAGCAGCCAUGUGUUCUCCUUCCCAGCACGGAGGGAUGGAGAGAAGCCCAAGGAAUGGUUAUCGACCCACUGAACUGCAAAUGUGUGGUUGAGGAGAUUGAGAACAGCCAAGCCCAGGAAAAUUCCCCUUGGUCAUGUUCCUUAAUUGUUCGUCCUUGGAGAGACAGCAACCUCUGCUCUAUACGCCUGUGCUGGAUUUUUUGUUUUCUUUUUAAAAGUAAGACAGAAAUCCUCGUAACACAUCAAUAAAGAGCCACGCUGUAGACAGCAUCUGAAAGCAAGAAAAUAAUAUUACUACAGAAAAGGAAAAAAAAAAAAAAAAAAGCAACACAACAGCACCAAAAGCUAAUAAAAGCAUUACUCGAGAAACAGAACUGUUUCGAAGCAGCCAAAGAAUAUCCACAAUGAUGAUUCAAUUACACAGAAGAUUAGUGUUGGUCUGUCUGCGGAGCCAAGAGUUUCUCACGGAGGUUUUGAGCCGACGAAUGGGUGAUGACUUCAUAAAACCUGAGCGUAAUGGGGUGGAGGGACAAGAAAAACAAACAACAAAAAAACAAGAAGAAAAAUGCCCCCAAAACAGCAGAAACCAGACCAAUAAAAUCUCAUUCCAAUCAUGGAACAAAUCGUGUAGAUUUUUUUUUUUUUUUUUCCCUGGGAGCAGAUUUCAGCUAGGGCAACAUUUCUUUAAGGUAUUGAUUAGCAAUUAGAGAGGUGUUUUAGCUGCUUCUCUGCUGUGUCCCUGUCAUUCCCUCCAGAAUUUCAAUUCCACGAGUACUAUUUCCAUCCUGCAGCGGAGCCAGGCGAGAAUCACUGCCCAACCCCACAGCUCCAGGCACUCCCUGCUGCUAAAGGAUUUGGGGUGGAGUGGGGUCCAGCUUCAGAAAAAAUAGAAAACCCUGAAAAGGAUGAAAAAUAAUCUUGAUUUGAGCCAGGAGGUGGUGGAUGGCUUGGAAUACAUUGGGCACGGGGCUGGGGUGUAGGAGUCUGCUUAACUCACAGAGUUUUAUCAGCCAGAGCUUUGGUUUGCCCCAUAGGCGCUAUAUCAGCAGCCAUCCCACUCAGCAUGAAGGGCAGCAACCAGGAGAGGAGGCUCUGUGGAACAGAUUACCCAGAGAAGCUAUGGGUGUCCCAUCCCUGGAGGUGCCCAAGGCCAAGCUGGGAGGGGGGGCACCCAUUUUACAGCAGAGGCAGGGCUUUAAGGUCCCUUCCAACCCAACCAUCCCAUGGUUCUAUGAUCUUUAAGGUCCCUUCCAACCCAACCAUCCCAUGGUUCUGUGAUCUUUAAGGUCCCUUCCAACCCAACCACUCCAUGGAAAUAUGAUCUUUAAGGACCCUUCCAACCCAAACAUUCUAUGAUUCUAUGAUUCUACAAAGAUACCAAUGAAGACUUGCACUGAAAACCAUCAAACUCAAAACACAUUGCCUUCAAUAAUCAACAGAGGGAAGCCACCAUCACCUCCCACAAAGGAGUGGCCAGUCUUUUCCUCUAGUGGUAAUUUUCCUGCCUUUUUAUUUGGUUCCACUUAAAAUGGGGAUUCUUAAGAGCAAGAAAAAUAACAAACGGAUUUCUCUUCAGAUAAUUCAUAAGGGCUCCGAGUGCAUUGUAAAUGCAUGCCUUUAUCCAACAGGCAAUUUGAUGUAUUUCAUAGACUGCUUUUGUAUCAGUUUGCUGCACAAUAUCCUCUAUGGAAAUUGUGGCUGGCUUAAUGCUCUCUUUAGCAAACAGCGUAAUUGCCCCCUGCAAUUUGUUGCCUGGAAAGGUUACUGGAAAAAAAAAAAGAAAAAAAAAAGGAGGGGAGAGAAGAUCAACUUUGGUGGCUGGAGAAUGAAGGAGGAGAGAGAGAAUUCCAGCAGCAUUUGAGAUGAGAUUUAUUCUGGGCCAAGGAAUGCAAUUACAGAGUGGCACAGCCCGAUCCCACCCAACCCCACUGCUGGCAUGGGGUGUUCCCCAGCAUGACCCGAAUCACAGUGAACACGUGCACAGGCAUUGAGCUGCAAGGAUGAGAUGCACAGAGCAUCGAUCCCACAGCAGCGAAAGGGCAGGUGGCAAAACUGAGGGAGGAGACGGCAGUGGGAUGGAAAGAGGAAACCCCAACAGAAAGGGAUGGGAGCAGAGGGGUGGCUGCAGCAGGAGAGGGAGAGGGAGGAUGCAGAGGGGAGCGCGGGAGGCGCGGAGACGGCAGGCAGUGUUUAUUAAUUUUCUGCUUGGCUGCCUUUGGUGCCAUAGCUCCGAGAUCAUGGAGCCGCUCCACACUCUAUUAAAUAAUUCAAUCUGCGAAGAAUCCAAGUGUGUAAGCGAACACUCUUAUGCGUCUUAAAAUUUAAUUGCAGAGCUAAACAAGAUUAAGUGCAAGGAAGACAUAAAAGAUAUGAAAAUAGAUGCCGGGGCUUUUGUUUCUCUCGCUGCCCGAGCCCUGCACAGGAACCUUUCCCCAUUUUUCACACUGCUCCGCUAAAGAGCCUGAGCCUCUUUCAUCUGCUACCCCCUCCCUUUGUUCUAUUUACAGCUGUGUUUGCAAGCAGCGGGCUCGCAAAUCACUUAAUAUCCAUUAGAGCAGCUCCAUUCACCCUGCUCUAGGCUCCUGCUCCAGCAGCCUUUCUGCUACAAAUCCUCACGCUCAAGGCUUUCAGCAACCAGCUCCGAACUGGAGCCCCCAGAUUGGAGCCCACCACCACCACCUCUCUCUCACCAGGUGACCAUUGCUCAGAUGUGAGCGCUGCAGAUUUGCUUUGAACACCCACAGUGCACAAAGCACCUGGUCCUGCCCCAAAGCUGCACGUCUGCACGUAGGACCCAACCAGCACCUCCCAGGGCAAUGCUCAGCUCCCAGCUGCCCGGCUUGCAAGGGCAGUGUUGGGGUGCAGAGAGGGAACAUGGGGCUGAGUUCUCGCAGGGUCUGUUCCCAGCACUGCUGCUUCUUUUGCUCACAGCUGCAACGGUGUUUGGAGCUGAGCAUCGCCGGGGAUGGUGGAGAGGGAAGCGAGGAGGAGGGAUUAUGGGGGAGGAACGGGGGAAUGGAGAGCUGCCUGCGUGCUCAUGGUUUAAUAGGAAGAGCCCUGUUCCUGCUCACUGAGCAUGCUGCCCAUUAGCUCCUGAUGUGGGCCAGCACCUUUGAGCACUUCUACAGGGAGGAGAAUAAAAGCCAAGCGGGGCCAGAGGAGCAAGCAAAGCCUCAGCGCAUGGGAGGAAAAUGUCACGCCAUUUUACAGACGUGGAAACUGGGAUCCAUUGAGGCCAAUAAGUCACACACACAGGGGUUGGUGGAGGAAGGAGAAUGCCUGCUGGUUCCCAAAGUACAGGACCCAAAGAGAUCCCAUCCCCUCACCUGCAACAGAGAGCAGUGCAGACACAGCUUUGGGGCGAUAAGUGUUUCAUGAGCAUCUCAGCUUUUAACUAGAGUUGCCAUCAACUCCACGCAGGGAGGGAAAGGAGCAUCUAAAACACUUUCCGUGUUGAAGUCACGAGGAGCAGAUGCAGGGGGGUACUGCCAUGCUGUGCUCUGACGCAUGCCUUGACCCAUCUCCAGCAGCUCACCUGCCAUCACCCACAGCCAGGACCAUCCCUGCCCCACAUAGCUCAGCACCAGCAUCCAUUGGGGGUCAGCCCUCCAGCACGGCUGGUGCUGCAGGAGAUGCUGAGCUGUUGGUAAUGUCACCCGGACCGUGGGAACGGCUGCGUGCCAUUCGUUCCCUCCUGCAAAAUGUCACAGCGAAAAGGAAAUGUGGCACCGAGUCGGAGCGUUUUCAUAUCUUUGCCGAGAGAUCAAUCAAAAUGCUGUUUCUUCACAGGGAAAGCAAUCUCAGACACCUCCCGCAAGCCUGCCUUCACCCAAACAGGGCGUCGCGGAGAUCUCAUCUCUGUUAUUACAUGAGCUCACAGGUGUAUUAAUAUAAUUACUUGCAAAGGGCAACAAGUGAGACCUGAGGCUACUUUGUCUUCAUCUGCUUUGCUGCCGGGCUCAUAGCUGUUGAUGGCUGCUGUUACACCGGCUGUUGGGAAUGCAAACUGCCACUAAGCCACGUUUUCACUGUCUGAAAUCUCACGCAAAGCCUCUCCCGCCCCAAAAGAAGGGGGACAGCUUGCUGGGUGAGGGGACAAGCAGCAGAACGAUCUGCGAGAGCACUGUGCUGCUGCACAAACCCCGUGCCCCAGCACUGGGACGGACAGCACACAGCACUGCUCAGAUCCAGGCAACUCCCCCCCAGUACAUGGAGGGGUCACUCAUUUCCCAAGCCCCAUCCAAUGCGCCUCGCACACCUCCCCACGCGUGCCCCCCCGGUGACAGAUUGCUGUUAUAACAUUUAUGGUGAUUGAUGGAUGGCAUAGCAACAAGUGAAUUAACCAGGCGCGCGCGCUGACAUGAGUGGCGGUAAAUGUCAUAAAAGAUCAACCAUUAUAUUCCAAGCAUGGCUUUCCAACCGCUGAGCGAAACCAAUUGAGGUGAUUUAGUGGAAAUGAAGACUGCAGAGAGCACGCAGAGGAGAAGAGGAAGUUUGGAGCAGUGCUGAACUCUGCACAGAGCCUCGCACAGCACUGCAGCGUCGCUACCCAUCAGAUUAUCUCCACUGGGGACAGUUCUGGGGUCAGCCCAUGUGCCGCAGCCCAGCGCAUCCCAAUGGACCAACCCACCAAGAGCUGGGCUGAACCCAACCCUUCCAACAGGACAAAUCCAACCAACCUGUAUUCCAAAGACAUCUGCCCCCCCCAAAAAUAACAUCGUUUUGCUGCAGUGGCACUUUAAAUCUCGAGCAAUUGUAAAACCAAUUUGCACUUAGGAACGUUCAAUUUGUUUGCAGGUGUUUUCCCCUUAAGUUGCGCUGGGUAAUGCAGGCGGGUGCUGCAAAGCUCGCUGCAAAGUGGGUCCAGCACUGCGCUGAUCUGAGUGUGAAUUGGAAGGCACGACAGCGGGAUGCUGAGCUUCUCCAUCAGGGAAAUUAAUUUGAAGGAGCUGGGUGAGAUGUGGCCAGGGCAGAGCUGGGUCACCUGUGUGCACACGCUGCUUUCCUAAUGGAAAAAGGGACCACGGUCCUUUGGAGGCAGCAAGGAGGAGACCCACGAUGGCAAAGUCAGGGCUGGUUGUCAUCAUCUGAGGGACAGCAGAGGACAAAGGCCGAUGACAGAGAGGGCCAAAGGAGCGGGCAGCAGGGCUGCCCAGAAGCCGUGUGUGCAGGGUUAACAAGCAAUCAGUGGAUGCUUUAAUUAACUAAAUGAAAUUGACUUAAUUAAAUGCGGUUACUAAGAGGUCCCACGUGUCACAUGUCACUGGUUAGAGCUGAGGGUGCCAACAAGUGCAACAACCUCAGCUCUUCACGAAAGGAGUUCAAGCCAAUGAGUCUGCAAGAAAAUCCCCAAUUUCAGCUUUGGUCUGAGGCAUUCCGCUGUUCUUUCCUAACCCACCCAAACUCAAUCACCCAAAUUGCUGUGAUUUCCCCCACAUUUCUCAAGGGCACUCAUACAGCACACAGCAAGGGCAGAUUUGCCCAAAGCAGAGCAUCUCCAUCUCACGCAACAUCAGUGAGAAGCCACAGAAGGGCCCCAAAUCCCAUUCCCACACCGACAGCGGUGCAGCGCCGUCAGAGCCUCCACGUGUGCUGUCAGAGGGAGCUCAGCCCGCAGACAUCUGCGUCACAGCGGCUUUCUCUUCCCUAAACCUAUUUGCUGCCAGCACGGAGUGACGUGGCUGGAGCUGAGAGUGGGAUUACUGGUAAAGCUGGGAAGUGCUCUGCUGCAUAAUGAGGGUCACAGAGCAUCCAUGAUGAAGCUGCACUGCUGGCACGGGGUGAGGAUGCAGAGUCUCCCCAUGAGAUUUCCUCUUUGCAGCAGGGCAGAACAAGACCCAGCAGGAGGAGGAGCGACCAAACCCAAACCCAACUCAUCCAUCACCUUAACCGGCCACGCUGACGCCCGGAGCUGCUCUCCCUCACCUUGCAGCCAGCUGCCACGCAGUGCUCAGCUAUUGAUCCUCCGGAUGCCCGUGUGAUUGGAGUCUGAAAUCUAAUGCCUACGAAGUCCAGCCAAACCCAAACCUCUCAAAUCAUGUUGACACGUUUAGGAGGUGCUGGGCGCUUCAUCCUCGCCGGUCCGAUAUGUAAUUAUGUAAGUGUCACCAUGAUGUAGGUGUUUGGCAGGGCAAUAAAGCCCCCGGAGCCCUGACAGCCGCCGCUGCCGUUCCACGCUGCCCGCGAGAGCGCUUGCUGCCAAUUUCUUUCUGUAGUUAGACUGGAGGAAAUAGAGCUCAAUAAAGCUGUGUGUGGAUCACGGAGGAAAGUUUGUCUUGAAAAAUGGGUGGAGGAGAUGUCGGAGCACUGCUGUCACCCCAGGCCUGCACGGGUUUAAGUGUUAUUCGCUUUCUGUGCUGCUUGCCAGGCAACACGGUUGGCUGGAGAUGCAGGAUCCAACCCCACGCCUUCCAUUUCUCCACCCCACAGCUUCAGUACACUUCACGUGGCAGCUGCCAGGUCCCACCUCAGCUCCCAUUGCCUUCCUCUGCACAUAGGGCUGGGGGGUCUGGGAGCAUGGCACAACUCCCAGCAGCUCCAGGGCUCCUCAGUGCCAUCAGGUUGCAGUUGAUGCCCCUCAUUGCCAGCCACAGCCCAUCGGUGGCUGCCGGUUGUCAGACCCACAUCAGCCCUUCGGCCAGCAGGGCUGCAGCAGCCAUGGCAAAUUCUGGAUGCCAUCCAGAGAGACACAGACAGGCAGCGCAGUGAGGAGAACCUCGUGAGGUUCAACAAAGCCAAGUGCAAGGGUCAUGGUAACCCGCAGUGUCAGUACAAGCUGGGGGUGUAAGGAUGGAGCACAGCCCUGCCAAAAAGGGUCUGGGGGUACUGAUGGGUGGCAGCUGGGGAUGAGCCAGCACUGUGCCCUCACAGCACAGAAAGCCAACUGUAUCCUGGGUGCACCCCUCCCGGAUUCCCUAAUUCCUCCAAAGCACUCAAAGCUUUACUGCUGCCUGGGACACCCCCUGCCAGCUGCAGCCAUGAGCGGGGUGCUGGGAGGCAGUGGGGCUGCACUCCUGGCUGAUGUUCCCCCAAAGAGCACAAACAAUUCCCAGCAGUUCAGUUCCUCCCAUCAGGGCUCAGGAAGCAUGACUGCUCCUCACUAAUACGUCUUUUGCUUGAUGAGCUGUCGAUGGCAGGAGGAUUUAAUCUCCCAUACCCUUUCUCUCUCCCAAAUCCACUAAGGUGAAGGCACUUCAUUACAGAACCACUCAGCUGUCUGUUCCCAUCGAUCACGCUUUGGCAUGGGUGACCUCGGAUCGAUAGGCUGCCGAUUAUUUAGUGCAUGUUCACCCAUGUCAAAUGCCAGCAGGGCAGGCAUGGUGCUGCCUGAGUGAGGAACCUGGCACUGCUCCAUCCCAAACAGCUCACGGGCAGUAGCGGAGCCCCACGGCCGCUCUAUAUCAAUUCAGGAUGCCGAGCAGAGGGAGGAAGGCAGUUCCCCCCACUUUGCUCUCAAGCCAAACCCCUGUGCUGUAACUACCUGAUGAUUCAUCCGCCUCCAAGAGAUGUCCCUUCCAACCAGCCGCAGUCUGACUUUUUAAUCAAAUCCUUUGCUUCCUUCUCCCCGUAGAGCCAAAGCCGUUUUUCUAUUACAUACUGAUUGAUCAAGCCUUCGCAAGCAGGCUGUCAGCAUCUUCCUGAUCCCUCAUUUCCAGUCCCCACACACAGCAGGUUGCAGGGCUGAGCCCGCUCGCUCCAGCAGCAGCAAACAGAUACAUAAAUGCACGCAAUUAGGGGGAGGAGGCGGGGAGGAGACGUGGAUCCUGCUUUGGAUUUUAUGCCCCCAGCCCAUAAGUUUAUGUUAUAGAGUAGGCAGUGUUAGCACUAAAACACGUGAGCAGGGGAGAAGGACACGGGGGUGAGCCCAAAAUGCUGCCUGGUGCCAGGGUAGAGAUGCUCACACCAUCCUUGCGCUGUGCAAAAAUAGAAGGAAAAUAGGAGAGUCUCCAGAGCUCCGGCAUGCCUCGUGCUAAUGAGUUGUUUUCCACAGCAAGAAAUAGUCAGAACAAGCCCAAACUCUGCUAAACAAGGGCUGUGGCCGCAACAGGCCAAAGAUCAGCUUCCCCCAAGGAGAACGUUGACGAGGAAGUAAAAAUACAAAAUGCAGCACUUCGUUCCCUUCCACCGUAUCGCCUGGCAAAUUAAAUAGCAGUGAUGUGAGUGCUGGGAAGGAAGUGAUCCCCCUCUGGAGCUGGGCUGUCCCACAGCCCCACGGCUCACGCAGGCUCGCAGCUGUUUGCUGGGAUGGGGAGCCCAAGGGAAGCGGUGCUGCAUUGCAGCCCUGUGCUGCUAUGGAUGCAGGGAAGUGGGAGAGGGCUUUACUCCUGCACAGCACAGGGCAGGUGCAAAGGUGGCAGCAGCCCCAGCACCGGAGC
Molecule: long non-coding RNA, 13180 nt
Filed under: Gallus gallus (chicken)
Lineage: Eukaryota; Metazoa; Chordata; Aves; Galliformes; Phasianidae
Description: lncRNA (ENSGALG00010027817.1)
Source: RNAcentral